AGGUGAACGUUCCAAAUCCGAAAGAGAUUUUAACAUGGCCGCAUGUUGAAACACGAAUUUUCUUUAUUGUUUGCCAAUGUAUUUGAAGAUCUAGUAGUGGUGUUUGAAAUCAGUUUUACAUAAAACAAAACGUGCUUAAUAAAUAACGUAUAAUUUCGUUGAUAGUUCCCUAAUUGUUUAAAAUCAUUCUAAAAGUUUUAUUAUACGCAGUACCGGCCUAAUUCCUGAUUUUUUGUGCAAUUAACAUCUUAUACGUUAUAAAUACAAAAAUUUUCUGUUAAAAUAAGUGAAUUAUGAUGCGACAUCCUGAACACCAUCACGUCCCCCCUAACAACAUGCAACGAAACAGAGUGCAGCAAAUGCCCCCAAAUCGUGGUACUCAGCCAAUGUUAAUGAGUUUACAACCAACAGUUCCAGUACCGCACUCAGGAGUACUUGUUUCUAUGCCUCAAGGCCCACCCCUUAUGCCACCGACUUCAAUGCCCCAGCAACCUCAACAGCCAAAAACCAUCAUGCAGCAACCUACACAACAAGUAUAUCACUAUGAGUCUGCACCAGUGGAAGCAACAGAGCAUCAACAUCAACCACCUCCACCACAUCAGACGGUUUCUGAAAAUGAUCAUUCUGCUCAGGUGCAACAAGCUCAAAUGCAAAAUUCACCAAACACUAGUACUUCUUCUAUGCCCCAACAAUCAACCUUGGCAAACACUAAAGAAAAAACCCCAAUGUGUCUAAUCAAUGAAUUAGCUAGAUAUAAUAAAAUUCAACAUCAGUAUCGUCUCACUGGAGAGCAGGGGCCAGCUCACAAAAAGCUGUUUACUGUUACUUUAAAAUUGGGCAAUGAAGAAUAUGAAGCUGAAGGACCAAGCAUAAAAAAAGCCCAGCAUGCUGCUGCUGCCUUGGCUCUUAAAAGGACAGAUUUGAAGCAUCCUCCUCCAAAAACUGCUCGAAUUAAUAGGUCUGGCCUGAGGAACCCCGGUAUGGUCACUCCAACAGUAGAAUUGAAUGCACUAGCUAUGAAAAGAGGAGAACGAACGGUGUAUGUGCUAGAUAGUGUUCCAUCACAUCAACCUCAGGGAUACAUUUCACAAACUGGUUAUUAUCCUCGACAUAAUAUGUAUAAUCCAGGGCAACCACGUUAUCCAAAUUUUGAUAUUCGGCGGGGCCGAGGAUACCAUACCCAUUAUGAUCGAUAUUAUGGACCGUAUAGACCUGGUUACCAGCAUCCUUCUGGAGAACCAGUAACUGUACGCCUUCGAGUUGGAGACAGAGAAUACCCAGGCGUGGGAUGCACCGUUCAGGCGGCCCGUCAUGAUGCAGCAUCCAAAGCUGUCGAAGAUAUUAAACAAAUGGAAGCUGAAGAACAACAACAUCAGCAGCAGCAACAACAGCAACAACAACAACAACAACAACACCAGCAGCAGCAGCAACAGCAGCAGCAGCAGCAGCAAUGCAAUACAACACAAGAAAAUGGUUACUUGGUAACGACAAAUGGAAAUAUUAAUCAGGAUUUAAGUACAGAACUCAAAUCUCCAAUUUCAUUGGUACACGAAAUUGCCCUUAAAAGAUCUCUGAAUGUAACUUUUGAGGUUCUUAGUGAGAAAGGCCCUCCUCAUAUGAAGAUUUUUGUGACCCAAUGCCGAGUUGGGGAUUUAAUCGCGAAUGGGGAAGGAAAUGGAAAGAAAUUAUCGAAGAAAAGGGCUGCAGAAAAAAUGUUAGAGGAACUAGCGAAAUUGGGACCACUUAUUAGUACUAACAAUAUGGCUCAUCUAAAACGCAAGAGGGUAGUUGCUAAGAAAAAAACUAGGAACUUGAUUAAAGUUAAUGCUGACAAAAAUUCAGAAUAUACUGAAGAGAUCAAUCCAAUAUCGCGCCUGAUACAAAUACAACAAGCCAAUAAAGAAAAAGAACCUGUUUACACAGUAGUAGAAGAAAGGGGUGCUCCUAGAAGGCGUGAAUUUGUAAUAGAGGCUUCUGUAAAGGGACACUCGUGUACUGGAAUAGGUCCCAAUAAAAAGGUGGCAAAACGUAAGGCUGCAGAAGCAUUGCUUAAUUUAUUAGGUUAUUCGAGCAGUCCUGUACAGAACAUACCUCCAAAACCAGUAAUCAAAUCUGAAAAAGAAGUAGAGUUGGUAGACAAGCUGCGGAAAGUAACAUUCAUGGAAGAAAAGUCUGAAGUUUCUGUUGGGGGCAGUGGAGGCCGUCAAUUGGUUCCCGGGCUUUUGCUUGUAGGAGAUCAGUCUGCCAGUUUCCAGCAGAAUAAAUCAAAAGUAAAUUCAGAUAUGUUAAAUUCCGGAUCUGGCGUCCAAGCUGAUGGGAAAAGAGGCGGCCAAUCUCAAGUAUCUAAAAUAUCUUCACAAGCAACUCAAAGUGUUCGAGCUAAAGAACAGCUUCUAUAUCUGGCUCAGCUGCUUGGUGUCCAGGUUCAGUUUUCUGAUUUUCCAAAGGCUAACCAUGAAAUGUACCUCACAUUGGUCUCUCUCAGUACACAGCCUCCUCAGUGUAGAAAAUAUAACAAGUGGUGUUAUCAGAGUAUGCGGUGAUGGAUUUUGUUGAUUUAUUUCUUUUAUAAACAAGUCAAUAACACUAAAUUAUUAUAAAUACACGGUGUGUCAUGGAGAGGGUCCUACAACUGAGGCUUCUCAUGAAAAGGCUGCUUUAGAAGCACUGAAUGUUCUAUCUGAGCUGGGAUUAGAUAAU
RNAcentral lists this unclassified non-coding RNA (2700 nucleotides) under Agrilus planipennis (emerald ash borer). Its description in RNAcentral is "double-stranded RNA-binding protein Staufen homolog 2, transcript variant X2". Lineage: Eukaryota; Metazoa; Arthropoda; Insecta; Coleoptera; Buprestidae. The record is from RNAcentral.